This 74-nucleotide transfer RNA is filed under the name Candidatus Zixiibacteriota bacterium. RNAcentral's name for it is "candidate division Zixibacteria bacterium tRNA-Arg". It matches the Rfam family "tRNA". Rfam says of the family: Transfer RNA (tRNA) molecules are approximately 80 nucleotides in length. Their secondary structure includes four short double-helical elements and three loops (D, anti-codon, and T loops). Lineage: Bacteria; Pseudomonadati; Candidatus Zixiibacteriota. The record is from RNAcentral.
GCCCCCGUAGCUCAUCCGGAUAGAGCAUCUGCCUUCUAAGCAGAGGGUACCAGGUUCGAGUCCUGGCGGGGGUA